ACUUAAAUAGUAUAAUAGUAUAUUUGACUUCCAAUCAAAAGGUCUAAUUUAAUUAGUUUAAGUA
RNAcentral lists this transfer RNA (64 nucleotides) under Protochauliodes biconicus. Its description in RNAcentral is "tRNA-Gly". It matches the Rfam family "tRNA". Rfam says of the family: Transfer RNA (tRNA) molecules are approximately 80 nucleotides in length. Their secondary structure includes four short double-helical elements and three loops (D, anti-codon, and T loops). The record is from RNAcentral. Lineage: Eukaryota; Metazoa; Arthropoda; Insecta; Megaloptera; Corydalidae.